UGUGUGUGUGUGUGUGUGUGUGUGUGUGUGGUAGGGGGGGCACAUGUGUGUGAAGGGAGCAUUUAGCAGCCGAUCAAUCACAACCUGCCAGAUGGGUGUGGUACGAUGAGUCAAAACGGCACCAGUUGGGUUGACCAGAGCUCCUCCUGAAAUUCAACACAAAAAGAACAGGAAUGAGCUACACUCUCAGCCCAGGUGGAGCGACACAGUCCAUUCUCCGGCACGUAUCCUUCGCCUCAAUGGGAUCCGCCCGCCGCCCGACCCGCAGCACCACAGCCGAUCCCUCGGCGGAGGCACGCAGAUCCACUCCCGCUUUGACAAGGUCAAUUUACAACCUGUACUUUGUGCAAGAUGGAGGGUAUUACAUUCUCUGCUCAGCUGUCCCCGAUGCAUGGCUGCUUCUCCUUUACACACACACACACACACACAGGAAGGAAAACACGCACACAAAGACGGACAGAUAUACUAUGUGGAACAUGAACACGAGCAGAAAUGCACACACGCCAAGAUUAAAUGACACGCUGCACACACACUGACAGAUUGAUGGAAACCAUAUGCACGCGCACACACACACACACACACACACACACACACACACACACAGUCAGCCUGGCUG
Molecule: long non-coding RNA, 616 nt
Organism: Scophthalmus maximus (turbot)
Lineage: Eukaryota; Metazoa; Chordata; Actinopteri; Pleuronectiformes; Scophthalmidae
Exons: 3
Source: RefSeq, a predicted model, not a curated record